Long non-coding RNA from Nicotiana attenuata, 166 nucleotides. RefSeq lists it as uncharacterized. Lineage: Eukaryota; Viridiplantae; Streptophyta; Magnoliopsida; Solanales; Solanaceae. The record is from RefSeq and is a predicted model, not a curated record. The transcript has 2 exons.
AACUAAAUUUAAUAGAUUUUUCUUCUUCUAUUUUCCAGAAUUACAACUCCUCCCCAAUAGUUUCCAGUAAUUCAAAAAGUUCACCCCCUAAAGAGCUACAAACUCACCACAAAAGAUUCCAGGAAAAAUUCUGACCAUUUGAGGAAACCUGAGUCAACGUUGACCA